GAAAAGUCUAGUCUAACUCACAAAUGCAUCCUUAUUCUCAUGUAUAUUUGAUACUGGCCCCAGUCUAAUCUGAUAAAGUGCACUUUGCCUGUGGUGUCUUACAAUAAGCCGGCUGCAUUAGUGCCGGGAAAAAUCAAUACCGAUUUAUAAUUUACCAUCGCAAAAACCUAUCACUUUUUAUGACCCUCCAUCCUGGCUCAUUAAUAUUACAUUAAAACACACACACCCACUGAAACAGGGGGGAACUGUAGCUUGUCAGGCUUCCAGCCACUAAAAAAAAAAAAAAAAAAAAAAAAAACCAAAACAAACAAACAAACAAACAAAAAAACAAAAAACCCUUUAAUUGGGCUUAGUUUGGAAAUCCAGAUAGAGAUUUUUUUUUUCUCUAUUUGUUUUAUUUUUAAUGUAGGGAUGUUGCCUAGCAUGGAUUUUUAAGAUGCACAAAUACCUAUACAUUUCUCUGAAGAGCAUAUCAGAAUUUCUGACACAUGUUUUCCUAUAGUUCUUAUGAUAAUAACCGGUCCUUAUAGCAUCCUCAGCUCUUCUCCAGCCUCCAGGGUCUUCCCUUUCCUCCCGUGUGUGCCAGUGUGGAACUGGCUUCUUUCUGUACACAGCAGCCUUCUGGCCAAGCUGGUCUUUUUCUUAUCUUUGUGGUUGUCACAGUUGGUAUUUACUCCACAUCCCCCUCCCUGCCCCCAACCCUUGGCUCAGAUCACGGAGGAGCUAAAUGCCACCCUUUGCAUUGUCUGCCUCCCAGAGAAAGGAUGAGGAUUUUAUUUUCCUUCCACACUGGCUGGAGAAAAUUCCUCUGACCUGGCUCUGUAACUGAGCCAUUCAUAGUCCCUACUGUUCCCCGGCAGAGAACACCAGACUCUGUAGGUGAGAAUGUGUGCAUGUGUGCACAUGUGUGUGUGUGUGCAUGCAUGCCUCUCUUUAAUUCUUUCACCUUAAAGAAAUCCUAAAAGAAAAAAUUAAACAAUAGUAUUUCCUUGAUCAACUUUAUUAAGCUAUUAAGCAGUUUUGACCUCGUGGGUUUUUAGACUUAAAAGUCCUAUCCAAAUUCUUUCCAGAUAAUGUAAAAAAAGAAAAAAAAUGAUGUCAUUGUUUAUGUUGGCAGUGGUGACAAGCUCUAUUUAUUCCAUGCUAUUCAAAUAGUUUCCAGGGAAUUUUUCCGGUUUUUUUUUUUUUUAAAUAAAAUCACAAAAAUCCAACCUUCCGACUCACUUGCCCCUUUCCCUGGCUGACUUAAAGGGGAAGGGUUUCUUGUCUCAGAGAGGGAAGUGGGAAGCAGCAACAAAUAAAUAAAAAGUCAGGAACGGGGAAUUCAUUGUGUUCUCAAGUGUGCAGUGGAUCCACACCACGCAGCGAAUGCAUGUCGUGAUUGGGUUUUUAAAAGACGUCCGACUCGCCCCUGACUGACAGGGCCUAUUGAUUUUUUAGGUUUCUGCCGUCAUCGGUUUCCAGCCUCACAGCGGCCGCAUGUCGGGGGUCAGGGCGCACCGGGGCGCAGUGAGCCAGCCCUCGCCACUUCCCAAAGUGAAGGGCUGCUGAAAGAAAAUCAAUCAUGUCAUAAGUGAGAAGCAUCAAAAAUUUUCUCUCUGUACGGCCAAGGCCCAUCAGCCUGUCUUCGCUCAGUAGCUAAGGUUAGGCAUCUGUCAAGUCAGACUAGGUGAAAAGUAUUAGAGAUGCCAGUUAACCCAUGGCUGGACUGUAGACGGGUGCGAGGCUGGUCUCUUCCCUUUGUCUGACCAUCUGGAUUGACAAGGUUGGCAGUUUUGCUUGAUUUUGGAGCUGGAAUCACCCAUUUCCCCUCCCAGUAGCUUCUGUCUACACUUCACUCUCCUCCACAAGGCAAAAAGGACAGGGCCCCAGACGCUGUUGGCUUGUAACUUUAACUAUAGACUCAGUGGAUUUGUUCCCUCUGGUCUCGACACUGGGCAUUUUAGGUUCUUCUAAUAUGAAAGUGUGUUUUGAUUCUAUGUGUUUAUCUGUGUGUUUAUGUGUGUGUGCACAUGUGUGUGUACCGUGACAUGUGUUCAGGUCAGAAGACAAUUUUCAGGAGUCAGUUCUCUUCUUCCACCAUGUGACUUUCAGGGAUCAAACUCAGGUCCCCCAGCUUGGUGACAAAGUACUUCUAAGUCAAGCCAUCUCUCUGGCCCUACUCACUAUUUUAUAAGCCUGCAUUCUUUAGUGCUUCUAGCAGUGUUCACCAUGGGAAAAGAGGCCUGUAUUAGGAUUUGUCUCAGAGCUGCAGGAGCACAACACAGAUUGCUUCUUCAUCUCAGUGACAGAAUUUAUGUGUGUGGCAAAAUCCACUUCCAGCUUACUUCUUCUGGCUUCCAAAUGCACAUUCUUUAGUGCUUAUAAACAUUAAAUUGUCUAUAGGAAAAGAGCCUGAUAAAGAUACGGAAGAAGAAAUUGAGAGAAAGUCAUUUUCCUUUGGGGCUUUGGCUAUUAGGUGGUUCCCUGUGCCCCAGUGGAUGAGCCAGUAGAGAAUCAUAUGGGCAGGACUAAUUGGGCUCAAUGG
Molecule: long non-coding RNA, 2527 nt
Filed under: Mus musculus (house mouse)
Lineage: Eukaryota; Metazoa; Chordata; Mammalia; Rodentia; Muridae
Description: long non-coding RNA chr11:44739727-44742254
Source: RNAcentral